GACGAACGCUGGCGGCGUGCCUAAUGCAUGCAAGUCGAGCGGGCUACGGUCUUCGGACUGUAGCUUAGCGGCGAACGGGUGAGUAACACGUAGGUAAUCUGCCCUUCAGAGGAGGACAACCUCAGGAAACUGAGGCUAAACCUUCAUACGUUCACUGGUAGGGAUACUGGUGAAGAAAGAGUUACCUUAGUGGUAGCUGCUGAAGGAUGAGCCUGCGGCCCAUCAGGUAGUUGGUGAGGUAACGGCUCACCAAGCCGAAGACGGGUAACCGGUCUGAGAGGAUGUCCGGUCACACUGGGACUGAGACACGGCCCAGACUCCUACGGGAGGCAGCAGCAGGGAAUCUUGGGCAAUGGGCGAAAGCCUGACCCAGCGACGCCGCGUGGAGGAAGAAGUCCUUCGGGGCGUAAACUCCUGGACUGGGGGACGAGAAAGGACGGUACCCCAGUAGAAAGGGACGGCUAACUACGUGCCAGCAGCCGCGGUAAAACGUAGGUCCCGAGCGUUGUUCGGAUUCACUGGGUGUAAAGGGCGCGUAGGUGGUUGUCUGUGUCUCAUGUGAAAACUCAGGGCUCAACUCUGAGAUUGCGUGGGAAACUAGGCAGCUAGAGGACGGUAGAGGGGAGUGGAAUUCCCGGUGUAGCGGUAAAAUGCGUAGAUAUCGGGAGGAACACCGGUGGCGAAGGCGGCUCUCUGGGCCGAUCCUGACGCUGAGGCGCGAAAGCUAGGGGAGCGAACC
Molecule: ribosomal RNA, 739 nt
Filed under: Coprothermobacter sp. enrichment culture
Lineage: Bacteria; Pseudomonadati; Coprothermobacterota; Coprothermobacteria; Coprothermobacterales; Coprothermobacteraceae
Description: bacterial SSU rRNA
Rfam family: Bacterial small subunit ribosomal RNA
Source: RNAcentral